UACGUAGGGUGCGAGCGUUAAUCGGAAUUACUGGGCGUAAAGCGUGCGCAGGCGGUUCGCUGUGUCCGAUGUGAAAUCCCCGGGCUUAACCUGGGAACUGCAUUUGUGACUGCAUGGCUGGAGUGCGGCAGAGGGGGAUGGAAUUCCGCGUGUAGCAGUGAAAUGCGUAGAUAUGCGGAGGAACACCGAUGGCGAAGGCAAUCCCCUGGGCCUGCACUGACGCUCAUGCACGAAAGCGUGGGGAGCAAACAGG
Molecule: ribosomal RNA, 253 nt
Filed under: uncultured bacterium
Lineage: Bacteria
Description: partial 16S ribosomal RNA
Rfam family: Bacterial small subunit ribosomal RNA
Source: RNAcentral